RNAcentral lists this ribosomal RNA (519 nucleotides) under uncultured bacterium. RNAcentral's name for it is "bacterial SSU rRNA". It matches the Rfam family "Bacterial small subunit ribosomal RNA", at positions 9 to 526 of the family's 1533-position model. The record is from RNAcentral.
GAGUUUGAUCCUGGCUCAGGAUGAACGCUGGCGGCGUGCUUAACACAUGCAAGUCGAGCGAAGCACUUAAGUCUGAUUCUUCGGAUGAAGACUGUUGUGACUGAGCGGCGGACGGGUGAGUAACGCGUGGGUAACCUGCCUCAUACAGGGGGAUAACAGUUAGAAAUGACUGCUAAUACCGCAUAAGAUUGUAGUUUCGCAUGGAGCAGCAAUCAAAGGAGCAAUCCGCUUUGAGAUGGCCUCGCGUCCGAUUAGCUAGUUGGCGGGGUAACGGCCCACCAAGGCGACGAUCAGUAGCCGGACUGAGAGGUUGAACGGCCACAUUGGGACUGAGACACGGCCCAGACUCCUACGGGAGGCAGCAGUGGGGAAUAUUGCACAAUGGGGGAAACCCUGACGCAGCGACGCCGCGUGAGUGAAGAAGUAUUUCGGUAUGUAAAGCUCUAUCAGCAGGGAAGAAACUGACGGUACCUGACUAAGAAGCACCGGCUAAAUACGUGCCAGCCGCCGCGGUAAUUC